CGGAACGAGUUAUCUGAACCUUCGGGGGACGAUAACGGCGUCGAGCGGCGGACGGGUGAGUAAUGCCUAGGAAAUUGCCCUGAUGUGGGGGAUAACCAUUGGAAACGAUGGCUAAUACCGCAUGAUGCCUACGGGCCAAAGAGGGGGACCUUCGGGCCUCUCGCGUCAGGAUAUGCCUAGGUGGGAUUAGCUAGUUGGUGAGGUAAGGGCUCACCAAGGCGACGAUCCCUAGCUGGUCUGAGAGGAUGAUCAGCCACACUGGAACUGAGACACGGUCCAGACUCCUACGGGAGGCAGCAGUGGGGAAUAUUGCACAAUGGGCGCAAGCCUGAUGCAGCCAUGCCGCGUGUGUGAAGAAGGCCUUCGGGUUGUAAAGCACUUUCAGUCGUGAGGAAGGUAGUGUAGUUAAUAGCUGCAUUAUUUGACGUUAGCGACAGAAGAAGCAC
This 446-nucleotide ribosomal RNA is filed under the name Vibrio neocaledonicus. Its description in RNAcentral is "bacterial SSU rRNA". It matches the Rfam family "Bacterial small subunit ribosomal RNA", at positions 67 to 493 of the family's 1533-position model. Lineage: Bacteria; Pseudomonadati; Pseudomonadota; Gammaproteobacteria; Vibrionales; Vibrionaceae. The record is from RNAcentral.